UACGGAGGGUGCAAGCGUUGUUCGGAAUUACUGGGCGUAAAGCGUGCGUAGGCGGUUUACUAAGUCAGGCGUGAAAGCCCCGAGCUUAACUUGGGAAUUGCGUUUGAUACUGGUAGACUAGAGGACUGGAGAGGAGAAUGGAAUUCCUAGUGUAGAGGUGAAAUUCGUAGAUAUUAGGAAGAACACCAGUGGCGAAGGCGAUUCUCUGGCCAGUUACUGACGCUGAGGUACGAAAGCGUGGGGAGCAAACAGG
This 253-nucleotide ribosomal RNA is filed under the name uncultured bacterium. RNAcentral describes it as "partial 16S ribosomal RNA". It matches the Rfam family "Bacterial small subunit ribosomal RNA", at positions 524 to 776 of the family's 1533-position model. The record is from RNAcentral.